CGUCUCAGUUCGGAUUGUAGUCUGCAACUCGACUACAUGAAGCUGGAAUCGCUAGUAAUCGCGAAUCAGAAUGUCGCGGUGAAUACGUUCCCGGGUCUUGUACACACCGCCCGUCACACCAUGGGAGUCGGAAAUGCCCGAAGCCGGUGACCCAACCAAAAGGAGGGAGCCGUCGAAGGCAGGUCUGAUAACUGGGGUGAAGUCGUAACAAGGUACC
This 217-nucleotide ribosomal RNA is filed under the name uncultured bacterium. RNAcentral describes it as "partial 16S ribosomal RNA". It matches the Rfam family "Bacterial small subunit ribosomal RNA", at positions 1284 to 1500 of the family's 1533-position model. The record is from RNAcentral.